Molecule: ribosomal RNA, 306 nt
Filed under: uncultured bacterium
Lineage: Bacteria
Description: bacterial SSU rRNA
Rfam family: Bacterial small subunit ribosomal RNA
Source: RNAcentral
UCGAGGGAUCAUUUGCAAUGGGGCGAAAGCCUGACAAUGCGACGCUGCGUGGAGGAUGAAGGCCCUCGGGUUGUAAACUCCUGUCAUGGGGGAUCAGGCGAGGACGGCGAACACCCGUCCGAGUUGAGCGUACCCCAAGAGGAAGCGACGGCUAACUCUGUGCCAGCAGCCGCGGUAAUACAGAGGUCGCGAGCGUUGUUCGGAUUUACUGGGCGUAAAGGGCACGUAGGCGGCGGCGUGUGUCGGAUGUGAAAUCUCCGGGCCCAACCCGGAAAGUGCGUCCGAAACUGCGCCGCUCGAGGGCGA